This is a long non-coding RNA of Nannospalax galili (Upper Galilee mountains blind mole rat), 3685 nucleotides long. Lineage: Eukaryota; Metazoa; Chordata; Mammalia; Rodentia; Spalacidae. The record is from Ensembl.
AUGAAGCCUUCACACGGCCAACGGGAGCACAGCCGCUCUCCCAGAGGGGCUUCAGUGAAAGCUGAAGCCCUGAGGGCUCCUUCACGCUCCGUGUCUCUGAAGUCUGUUACAUCCACCAUUUCUCACCAGAGACCUCCGGUGCGCUCCACACCAUCAAGUAGGUCUGUACUGUCAGUGUACAGAGAACAUGGUGCGCCCACAAGGAAAUCCACCACACAACUAAAGGCACCACCGUCGUCUACACAGCAGCAGGGAUGUUGAAGAUCAUGAGGAUGGUGAGCAGAAGCUGCCUAGUGGAGGAUGGGUGGCCUAGGGAGUCAUGCGCAGGCGUGCCACCCGGGAAAGUUCCCACUGUACCUUUGCCACUAUUUUAUUUUUCCCAUUCCCCCUUUGUUUGCCCCCACUGUGCACCUCUAAAAUAAACUAAAAUUGCAGGGUUUUUUUUUUCGCCUCAUCUUUUUCUCAGGUUUCUCUUCACAAAUGAAAAUAGGGAAGUAAUGAGGGUAAUUAGCAGAAAUUUGUAAAACAGCAAAUGCAAAUGAUAAAUGUGAUCAACCCAAGAACUGUCACCUGAAAGGUCUGUUCAAAUGAUAUACCACUGGCCAAUUGAGUCCAGAGGAAAAUGGGGCAGAAACUGCAUAUAUUUAAAGUUAGAAAGGAGAAUGGGAAAAUACUGUGGACACUAGUGCAAGGGAAAGGACCUAGAGAGAGACCUGGCAAACAAGUGGGUAGGGAUGAAAACACAAACAACCAGAGCUGGUCCCACAAUAGACUGAGCCAAACAGAACAAUAUAUAAACACAGAGGAAAGGGGGUGGGGCUGGCAAGAUGGCUGAGUAAGAGUGCCUGCCACCAAACCUGACACCCUGAGUUCAAUCCACGGAACCCACAUGGAAUCAACUCGUGUAAAUUGUCUUCUGACCUCCAUUUGCCCACAUGGCACAUGGGUACUUUCUCCCCCGACACACGCACACACACAUACACACACACACACAUACACACACACACAAAUAAUAAGUAAAUAAUAAAUAAUAAAUGUAUGUUUAAAUUUUUUUAAGAUCAUUUUCCAAGAAAUAUUUCUCAAAAUGAAAUCAGGGCAGACAUGUUCACAGGCUAGCACUUUCAGACCUUCACACGAUGCCAUUCUGAUGCUAAUCAGACUUUCAAAGAACAAAGAUGCAUUUCUGAAUGAUUAUUUUACAGCAUCAGUCUAACACUGACAUCAUAUCUGAUCAGGUUUAGAGAAAGAAAACAAAAUAGAAGUUUCAAAUAUACAAAAGAUUAAUAUAUGGGCUGGGGAUGUCCUUGCUUACCAAAUGUGAAACUCUGGGAUGGAUCCCCAGAACGGGAAAAAAAUUAAUAUAUUAACAAAAAAAUAGUCAUCAGUAUUAUUAAAAAUAUAUACCACAAAGAGUAAAUAUAGGGACAUUUUACUAUUGGGAUUCUUAAAAUAAUCCACCAUGUUGUAAGUAAAAGGGUUGGGGGCUAGAGAGAUGUCUCAGCAGUUAAAGAGCAUUGGUUGCUCUUGCAGAGGUCCUGGGUUUGGUUCCCAGCACCUACACAGCAGCUAACAACCACCUAUAACUCCAGUUCCAGGUGAUCAGACACCCUCUUCUGGCCUCUGGGCACUGCAUUCACAUGGUGUACUUACAUGCAAGCAAAAUACUAAUACACAUAAAAAGAAAAUUUUAAGUUAAAGGAGAAGAGUUAUGAGAUUAAGUCAAAUAAUGUUGCAAAUGUGAAAAAAUGCAACAUUCAUUUUUUGAUUGCCAGAAAGGAGAAGGAGGAAGAAAUCAACAAAGUAAGAAUGUAUAGCCAUUUCAUUGACAUUAUAAAAAUAAACAUUUUUACCCCCAAAUCAGCAAGAUCUUUAUUUAAAUAUCAGAUGAAUUCUUAUUAAAAUGAAGAAAAGGGGCUGGAGCAAUGGCUCAGCAGUUAAGAACACUGACUGUUCUUGCAGAAGACCCUGGUUGGUAUCCCAGCAGCCACAUGGCAGCUUACAACUGUCCAUGACUCCAGUUCCAGGCGAUUGACAGCCUCUUCUGUCCUCCUGGGGCAUUGCACGACACAGGUGCACUUACCUACAUGCAGGCAUAACACUCAUACACAUAAAAUAAAAAUAAUAAAAAUAAAAUAAAUAAAAUGAAAAAAAAGGUUCCCACUAGCAAUAAUAUUGUGCUUUUCUGGAAUACUAAUUAUAACUAAAAAAAAAAUAGCACUUGCAAAGAGACAAAAUAUAUCAUUUCUUUAAGCUAAUAUGAUUGUAAAUUGUAAAUCCACUGGGAGACCAUUUAAAACAAGAUACUUUAGCUGAGUGACAAUCAAACUGAUAAACUAAAAAGUUUCCUAUAAAUAACUACCUAAAAUAUAAGAAAAUAAUUCUCAUUACUACAACAAUCAAAGCGCAGUACUUGCCAAAGAAAUGAAAACCUAUAAGAAAACUUUAAAACUCUAUUGAUAAGGGGAAAAAAAGAACAUUAAAAUAACCAAAAAAAGCACACUUUGUUCUUGAAGGAGAAGACAGAAUUUUGUAAUCUUUCCAAAUUAAAAGUUAGAUGAAAUCCCAAUUAAAAUACCAACAAACUUAGUUUGAGGAACAGGACCAAGAUAAACGUGGGUGGCAUGAACAGUCUAAGAAUGAGAAAUGAGAGGACUCUGCCAAACAGCAGUGGUCACAGGUAGACACAGCCUAGCAUUUGCACGUACUCUGGGGGCUGGAGAGACGGCUCUUGCAGAGGAACCAAGCUCAGUUCCCAGCAUCCAUGUCGGGUGGCUCACAACUGCUUGUAAGGCCAGCUCCAAAGAAUCCCACAUCCUCCUCUGACUUCAUGGGCUCCCUGUAGCCCCAGCUGCCCUGGAACUCACUAUGUAGACCAGGCUGGCCUUGAACUCACAGCGAUACACCUGCCUCUGCCUCUCAAGUGCUGGGACUGAAGGCAUGUGCCACCACACCUGGCUUUUUUUAUUUUAUUACUUGCAUAUAGAUUUUUUAAAAAUUUUUUCUGCUUCCCAAGUGCUGAGAUUAAAGGCAUGUACCACCACACCUGGUUUUAUUUAUAUUUUACAUAUUUUAUUAUAUAUUUGGCAUAUAUUACAUGCAAUUUUUUUUUCUUUUUUGAGACAGGGUAUCCCUGGAGCCCCAGCUGACCUAGAACUCACUAUGGAGACCAGGCUGGCCUCUACCUAAGAAUAUUUUUUAACAGGGCUGAAAAUGUAGUUUAGUAGAUUGCUUGCUUAGUAUACCUAACGCCCUGGGUUUGAUCCCCAACAAUGUAAAAUUAGUUGAUUAAUGAAUUAAUUAGUUGAUGAAAAUUGAAAAAUGCAGACUAAGAAUGUAAUGACCUAGCAUGUACAAGCCUUGGGCUCAAUCCUCAGUACCACAAAGAAAAAAUAAGUUUAAAAAGUAAAUGUUAAAAAUAAAAUACAUGUGAAAAUCAGCACAGGCAUGGAAUGCAGAGAUGGCUCAGAUAGUACAAGGACUAGCUUUGCUAACCUGACCACCUGCGGUUGAUCCAUGGGACCCAUGUAAAAGCCAGAUGAGCUGGGCAUGGUGAUGCAUGCCUUUAGUCCCAGCACUAGAGAGGCAGAGGCAGGCAGAUCCCUGUGAGUUCAAAGCCAGCCUGGUCUACACAGUGAGUUCCAGACCAGCUGGGGCUACAGGGAGACCCUGUCUCAAAAAGACAAAA